RNAcentral lists this ribosomal RNA (484 nucleotides) under uncultured bacterium. Its description in RNAcentral is "partial 16S ribosomal RNA". It matches the Rfam family "Bacterial small subunit ribosomal RNA", at positions 30 to 507 of the family's 1533-position model. The record is from RNAcentral.
AUUGAACGCUGGCGGAAUGCUUUACACAUGCAAGUCGAACGGCAGCACGGGGGCAGCCCUGGUGGCGAGUGGCGAACGGGUGAGUAAUACAUCGGAACGUGCCCGGUCGUGGGGGAUAACGUAGCGAAAGUUACGCUAAUACCGCAUACGAUCUGAGGAUGAAAGCGGGGGACCUUCGGGCCUCGCGCGAUCGCAGCGGCCGAUGUCAGAUUAGGUAGUUGGUGGGGUAAAGGCCUACCAAGCCGACGAUCUGUAGCUGGUCUGAGAGGACGACCAGCCACACUGGGACUGAGACACGGCCCAGACUCCUACGGGAGGCAGCAGUGGGGAAUUUUGGACAAUGGGCGCAAGCCUGAUCCAGCCAUUCCGCGUGCAGGACGAAGGCCUUCGGGUUGUAAACUGCUUUUGUACGGAACGAAAAGGCUCUGGCUAAUACCUGGGGCUCAUGACGGUACCGUAAGAAUAAGCACCGGCUAACUACGUG